CAUCAACAGCAGCAGCAG
This 18-nucleotide microRNA is filed under the name Corchorus olitorius. RNAcentral describes it as "dme-miR-2491-". Lineage: Eukaryota; Viridiplantae; Streptophyta; Magnoliopsida; Malvales; Malvaceae. The record is from RNAcentral.